Molecule: non-coding RNA, 74 nt
Organism: Podarcis lilfordi (Lilford's wall lizard)
Lineage: Eukaryota; Metazoa; Chordata; Lepidosauria; Squamata; Lacertidae
Source: the annotation of a GenBank genome assembly
UCCUGGGAUAGCUCAGUUAGUAGGGCAUGAGACUCUUAAUUUCACAGUCAUCGGUUCGAGCCCCAUGUUGGGCA